GGCAGCCGCCGCGGGAACACCGGCGGCCCGAGUGGUGAUCGUGAUUAUUGGGUCUAAAGGGUCCGUAGCCGGUUUGGUCAGUCCUCCGGGAAAUCUGAUAGCUCAACUAUUAGGCUUUCGGGGGAUACUGCCAGACUUGGAACCGGGAGAGGUAAGAGGUACUACAGGGGUAGGAGUGAAAUCUUGUAAUCCCUGUGGGACCACCUGUGGCGAAGGCGUCUUACCAGAACGGGUUCGACGGUGAGGGACGAAAGCUGGGGGCACGAACCGGAUUAGAUACCCGGGUAGUCCCAGCCGUAAACGAUGCUCGCUAGGUGUCAGGCAUGGCGCGACCGUGUCUGGUGCCGCAGGGAAGCCGUGAAGCGAGCCACCUGGGAAGCACGGCCGCAAGGCUGAAACUUAAAGGAAUUGGCGGGGGAGCACAACAACGGGUGGAAGCCUGCGGUUUAAUUGGACUCAACGCCGGACAACUCACCGGGGGCGACAGCAAUAUGUAGGCCAAGCUGAAGACUUUGCCUGAAUCGCUGAGGGGAGGUGCAUGG
This 542-nucleotide ribosomal RNA is filed under the name uncultured archaeon. RNAcentral's name for it is "bacterial SSU rRNA". It matches the Rfam family "Archaeal small subunit ribosomal RNA", at positions 457 to 997 of the family's 1478-position model. The record is from RNAcentral.